Molecule: unclassified non-coding RNA, 328 nt
Filed under: soil metagenome
Description: partial contains 5.8S ribosomal RNA, internal transcribed spacer 2, and large subunit ribosomal RNA
Rfam family: 5.8S ribosomal RNA (bases 1-120)
Source: RNAcentral
GAAGAAGAACGUAGCGAAAUGCGAUAAGUAAUGUGAAUUGCAGAAUUCAGUGAAUCAUCGAAUCUUUGAACGCACAUUGCGCCCCUUGGUAUUCCGAGGGGCAUGCCCGUUCGAGCGUCAUUAUACCCCUCAAGCCUAGCUUGGUGUUGGGGCCUGCUGUUACCGGCAGCCCUUAAAAUCAGUGGCGGUGCCAUCUGGCUCUAAGCGUAGUAAUACUUCUCGCUACAGGGUCCCGGUGGAUGCUUGCCAUCAACCCCUAAUUUUCUAUGGUUGACCUCGGAUCGGGUAGGGAUACCCGCUGAACUUAAGCAUAUCAAUAAGCGGAGGA